RNAcentral lists this long non-coding RNA (384 nucleotides) under Ananas comosus (pineapple). RNAcentral describes it as "long non-coding RNA (ACOM_LNC038525)". The record is from RNAcentral. Lineage: Eukaryota; Viridiplantae; Streptophyta; Magnoliopsida; Poales; Bromeliaceae.
UUUUUAUUUCUGUUGAUAUAUAGCUUAGAGUGUUUAUAUGGUUCAGUAUUUUUAUUACAUUUGAAAAUAUGGAUUUUUGUGAAUGUAAUAAACGGAUUUGUGGAUUUUGUAAAAUGGAAAGAUUUUCUACCCCUCGUGGUAGCGUUUUUAAAAGAUAAAAGCUCCUGUGUAGGGAACAGUUUUCAAAAGGUUUUCUGUGGAUUUUAUAUCUUAGUAUUUCAAAACCUGUUUCUGUGGUUGGAAACAUUUUAACUGAUAGAUGUGGAUUUAUGUUUAAAUAUUGAAUGUAUAAAUGUGAAACUGUGGUGAAUGGUGUAUGAAUGUAUAACUGUUGGUUAUUUGUAUGUUCAUCUGUUGUGGUUGUAUCAUGUUUGAACUCUUGUA